This 450-nucleotide ribosomal RNA is filed under the name uncultured bacterium. RNAcentral describes it as "partial 16S ribosomal RNA". It matches the Rfam family "Bacterial small subunit ribosomal RNA", at positions 354 to 796 of the family's 1533-position model. The record is from RNAcentral.
GUAGGGAAUCUUCCACAAUGGACGCAAGUCUGAUGGAGCAACGCCGCGUGAGUGAAGAAGGUCUUCGGAUCGUAAAGCUCUGUUGUUGGUGAAGAAGGAUAGAGGCAGUAACUGGUCUUUAUUUGACGGUAAUCAACCAGAAAGUCACGGCUAACUACGUGCCAGCAGCCGCGGUAAUACGUAGGUGGCAAGCGUUGUCCGGAUUUAUUGGGCGUAAAGCGAGCGCAGGCGGAAUGAUAAGUCUGAUGUGAAAGCCCACGGCUCAACCGUGGAACUGCAUCGGAAACUGUCAUUCUUGAGUGCAGAAGAGGAGAGUGGAACUCCAUGUGUAGCGGUGGAAUGCGUAGAUAUAUGGAAGAACACCAGUGGCGAAGGCGGCUCUCUGGUCUGCAACUGACGCUGAGGCUCGAAAGCAUGGGUAGCGAACAGGAUUAGAUACCCCAGUAGUCC